GAUCAUGGCUCAGGAUGAACGCUAGCUACAGGCUUAACACAUGCAAGUCGAGGGGCAGCAUAAUCGUAAGCUUGCUUUGAUUGAUGGCGACCGGCGCACGGGUGAGUAACGCGUAUCCAACCUUCCCCUUAGUAGGGCAUAGCCCGGCGAAAGUCGGAUUAAUACCCUAUGUUAUCCGUCGAGGACAUCUGAAGUGGAUUUAAAGAUUUAUCGCUAAGGGAUGGGGAUGCGUCUGAUUAGGUUGUUGGCGGGUAACGGCCCACCAAGCCUACGAUCAGUAGGGGUUCUGAGAGGAAGGUCCCCCACAUUGGUACUGAGACACGGACCAAACUCCUACGGGAGGCAGCAGUGAGGAAUAUUGGUCAAUGGGCGAGAGCCUGAACCAGCCAAGUAGCGUGCCAGGAUGACGGCCCUAUGGGUUGUAAACUGCUUUUGCAUGGGAAUAAAGUCGGGGACGUGUCCCCGUUUGUAUGUACCAUGAGAAUAAGGACCGGCUAAUUCCGUGCCAGCCGCUGC
This 516-nucleotide ribosomal RNA is filed under the name uncultured bacterium. RNAcentral's name for it is "bacterial SSU rRNA". It matches the Rfam family "Bacterial small subunit ribosomal RNA", at positions 15 to 518 of the family's 1533-position model. The record is from RNAcentral.